CUGGUGUCAGCCGCCGCGGUAAUACCAGCACCCCGAGUGGUCGGGACGAUUAUUGGGCCUAAAGCAUCCGUAGCCGGUCCUGCAAGUCUUCCGUUAAAUCCAGCUGCUCAACAGAUGGACUGCGGAGGAUACUACAGGGCUAGGAGGCGGGAGAGGCAAGCGGUACUUUAUGGGUAGGGGUAAAAUCCGUUGAUCCAUAGAAGACCACCAGUGGCGAAGGCGGCUUGCCAGAACGCGCUCGACGGUGAGGGAUGAAAGCUGGGGGAGCAAACCGGAUUAGAUACCCGGGUAGUCCCAGCUGUAAACGAUGCAGACUCGGUGAUGGGUUGGCUUCGUGCCAACCCAGUGCCGCAGGGAAGCCGUUAAGUCUGCCGCCUGGGGAGUACGGUCGCAAGACUGAAACUUAAAG
This 409-nucleotide ribosomal RNA is filed under the name uncultured Nitrososphaerota archaeon. RNAcentral's name for it is "bacterial SSU rRNA". It matches the Rfam family "Archaeal small subunit ribosomal RNA", at positions 452 to 861 of the family's 1478-position model. Lineage: Archaea; Thermoproteati; Nitrososphaerota. The record is from RNAcentral.